This 240-nucleotide unclassified non-coding RNA is filed under the name soil metagenome. RNAcentral's name for it is "partial contains 5.8S ribosomal RNA, internal transcribed spacer 2, and large subunit ribosomal RNA". The record is from RNAcentral.
AACCAUAGAAACCUGCGGAGUACCUGCGGAGGGAUCAUUAUAGUAUAUGGAAUCUCCAUUCUAUAAACCCACUCUGCGUAUCUUGUAACUGUUGCUUCCAUGGGACUUGGUUCCGCCACACCGGCUUCACGGCUGGUGAGCGCCCAUGGAAGGAGAAACAAAACUCUUCUUUGAAACGUAGUCAGUCUGAACAAGUUUUUAUAAACGUUAAAACUUUUAACAAUGGAUCUCAGAUCGGAA